RNAcentral lists this ribosomal RNA (565 nucleotides) under uncultured bacterium. Its description in RNAcentral is "bacterial SSU rRNA". It matches the Rfam family "Bacterial small subunit ribosomal RNA", at positions 43 to 624 of the family's 1533-position model. The record is from RNAcentral.
CGCCCCCCUAAUUUUGCAAGUCGACCGAUGAAGCCCUUCGGGGUGGAUUAGCGGCGGACGGGUGAGUAACACGUGGGUAACCUGCCUUAUAGAGGGGGAUAGCCUUCCGAAAGGAAGAUUAAUACCGCAUAAAAUGUUUGUAUCGCAUGGUACGAACAUCAAAGGAGUAAUCCGCUAUAAGAUGGACCCGCGGCGCAUUAGCUAGUUGGUGAGGUAAAGGCCCACCAAGGCGACGAUGCGUAGCCGACCUGAGAGGGUGAUCGGCCACAUUGGAACUGAGACACGGUCCAGACUCCUACGGGAGGCAGCAGUGGGGAAUAUUGCGCAAUGGGGGAAACCCUGACGCAGCAACGCCGCGUGAAUGAAGAAGGCCUUAGGGUUGUAAAGUUCUGUUUUCUGGGACGAUAAUGACGGUACCAGAGGAGGAAGCCACGACUAACUACGUGCCAGCAGCCGCGGUAAUACGUAGGUGGCAAGCGUUGUCCGGAUUUACUGGACGUAAAGGAUGCGUAGGCGGAUGUUUAAGUGAGAUGUGAAAUACCCCGAGCUCAACUUUGGGUGCUGC